This 253-nucleotide ribosomal RNA is filed under the name uncultured bacterium. RNAcentral describes it as "partial 16S ribosomal RNA". It matches the Rfam family "Bacterial small subunit ribosomal RNA", at positions 524 to 776 of the family's 1533-position model. The record is from RNAcentral.
UACGGGGGGGGCAAGCGUUGUUUGGAAUUACUGGGCGUAAAGAGCUCGUAGGUGGUUUGUCGCGUUGUUCGUGAAAACUCACAGCUUAACUGUGGGCGUGCGGGCGAUACGGGCAGACUGGAGUACUGCAGGGGAGACUGGAAUUCCUGGUGUAGCGGUGGAAUGCGCAGAUAUCAGGAGGAACACCAACGGCGAAGGCAGCUCUCUGGGACGUUACUGACGCUGAGACGCGAAAGCGUGGGGAGCAAACAGG